RNAcentral lists this ribosomal RNA (2905 nucleotides) under Klebsiella aerogenes. Its description in RNAcentral is "23S ribosomal RNA". It matches the Rfam family "Bacterial large subunit ribosomal RNA". The record is from RNAcentral. Lineage: Bacteria; Pseudomonadati; Pseudomonadota; Gammaproteobacteria; Enterobacterales; Enterobacteriaceae.
GGUUAAGCGACUAAGCGUACACGGUGGAUGCCCUGGCAGUCAGAGGCGAUGAAGGACGUGCUAAUCUGCGAAAAGCGUCGGUAAGGUGAUAUGAACCGUUACAGCCGGCGAUGUCCGAAUGGGGAAACCCAGUGUGAUUCGUCACACUAUCGUUAACUGAAUACAUAGGUUAACGAGGCGAACCGGGGGAACUGAAACAUCUAAGUACCCCGAGGAAAAGAAAUCAACCGAGAUUCCCCCAGUAGCGGCGAGCGAACGGGGAGCAGCCCAGAGUCUGAAUCAGCUUGUGUGUUAGUGGAACGGUCUGGAAAGUCCGACGGUACAGGGUGAUAGUCCCGUACACCAAAAUGCACAGGUUGUGAACUCGAAGAGUAGGGCGGGACACGUGGUAUCCUGUCUGAAUAUGGGGGGACCAUCCUCCAAGGCUAAAUACUCCUGACUGACCGAUAGUGAACCAGUACCGUGAGGGAAAGGCGAAAAGAACCCCGGCGAGGGGAGUGAAAAAGAACCUGAAACCGUGUACGUACAAGCAGUGGGAGCACCUUUAUGGUGUGACUGCGUACCUUUUGUAUAAUGGGUCAGCGACUUAUAUUCUGUAGCAAGGUUAACCGUAUAGGGGAGCCGCAGGGAAACCGAGUCUUAACUGGGCGUUAAGUUGCAGGGUAUAGACCCGAAACCCGGUGAUCUAGCCAUGGGCAGGUUGAAGGUUGGGUAACACUAACUGGAGGACCGAACCGACUAAUGUUGAAAAAUUAGCGGAUGACUUGUGGCUGGGGGUGAAAGGCCAAUCAAACCGGGAGAUAGCUGGUUCUCCCCGAAAGCUAUUUAGGUAGCGCCUCGUGAAUUCAUCUUCGGGGGUAGAGCACUGUUUCGGCUAGGGGGUCAUCCCGACUUACCAACCCGAUGCAAACUACGAAUACCGAAGAAUGUUAUCACGGGAGACACACGGCGGGUGCUAACGUCCGUCGUGAAGAGGGAAACAACCCAGACCGCCAGCUAAGGUCCCAAAGUCACAGUUAAGUGGGAAACGAUGUGGGAAGGCACAGACAGCCAGGAUGUUGGCUUAGAAGCAGCCAUCAUUUAAAGAAAGCGUAAUAGCUCACUGGUCGAGUCGGCCUGCGCGGAAGAUGUAACGGGGCUAAACUGUGCACCGAAGCUGCGGCAGCGACACUAUGUGUUGUUGGGUAGGGGAGCGUUCUGUAAGCCUGCGAAGGUGGCCUGUGAGGGUUGCUGGAGGUAUCAGAAGUGCGAAUGCUGACAUAAGUAACGAUAAUGCGGGUGAAAAGCCCGCACGCCGGAAGACCAAGGGUUCCUGUCCAACGUUAAUCGGGGCAGGGUGAGUCGACCCCUAAGGCGAGGCCGAAAGGCGUAGUCGAUGGGAAACAGGUUAAUAUUCCUGUACUUGGUGUUACUGCGAAGGGGGGACGGAGAAGGCUAUGUUAGCCGGGCGACGGUUGUCCCGGUUUAAGCAUGUAGGCGGAGGUUCCAGGUAAAUCCGGUACCUUUUAACGCUGAGGUGUGAUGACGAGGCACUACGGUGCUGAAGUAACAAAUGCCCUGCUUCCAGGAAAAGCCUCUAAGCAUCAGGUAACAUUGAAUCGUACCCCAAACCGACACAGGUGGUCAGGUAGAGAAUACCAAGGCGCUUGAGAGAACUCGGGUGAAGGAACUAGGCAAAAUGGUGCCGUAACUUCGGGAGAAGGCACGCUGAUAUGUAGGUGAAGCCCCUGCGGGUGGAGCUGAAAUCAGUCGAAGAUACCAGCUGGCUGCAACUGUUUAUUAAAAACACAGCACUGUGCAAACACGAAAGUGGACGUAUACGGUGUGACGCCUGCCCGGUGCCGGAAGGUUAAUUGAUGGGGUUAUCCGUAAGGAGAAGCUCUUGAUCGAAGCCCCGGUAAACGGCGGCCGUAACUAUAACGGUCCUAAGGUAGCGAAAUUCCUUGUCGGGUAAGUUCCGACCUGCACGAAUGGCGUAAUGAUGGCCAGGCUGUCUCCACCCGAGACUCAGUGAAAUUGAACUCGCUGUGAAGAUGCAGUGUACCCGCGGCAAGACGGAAAGACCCCGUGAACCUUUACUAUAGCUUGACACUGAACAUUGAGCCUUGAUGUGUAGGAUAGGUGGGAGGCUUUGAAGCGUGGACGCCAGUCUGCGUGGAGCCAACCUUGAAAUACCACCCUUUAAUGUUUGAUGUUCUAACGUUGGCCCCUGACCGGGGUUGCGGACAGUGUCUGGUGGGUAGUUUGACUGGGGCGGUCUCCUCCCAAAGAGUAACGGAGGAGCACGAAGGUUAGCUAAUCCUGGUCGGACAUCAGGAGGUUAGUGCAAUGGCAUAAGCUAGCUUGACUGCGAGCGUGACGGCGCGAGCAGGUGCGAAAGCAGGUCAUAGUGAUCCGGUGGUUCUGAAUGGAAGGGCCAUCGCUCAACGGAUAAAAGGUACUCCGGGGAUAACAGGCUGAUACCGCCCAAGAGUUCAUAUCGACGGCGGUGUUUGGCACCUCGAUGUCGGCUCAUCACAUCCUGGGGCUGAAGUAGGUCCCAAGGGUAUGGCUGUUCGCCAUUUAAAGUGGUACGCGAGCUGGGUUUAGAACGUCGUGAGACAGUUCGGUCCCUAUCUGCCGUGGGCGCUGGAGAAUUGAGGGGGGCUGCUCCUAGUACGAGAGGACCGGAGUGGACGCAUCACUGGUGUUCGGGUUGUCAUGCCAAUGGCAUUGCCCGGUAGCUAAAUGCGGAAGAGAUAAGUGCUGAAAGCAUCUAAGCACGAAACUUGCCCCGAGAUGAGUUCUCCCUGAGACUUUAAGUCUCCUGAAGGAACGUUAAAGACGAUGACGUUGAUAGGUCGGGUGUGUAAGCGUAGCGAUACGUUGAGCUAACCGAUACUAAUGAACCGUGAGGCUUAACCUU